GGAUUGUAAACCUCUGUCCUUGGUGACGAUAAUGACGGUAGCCAAGGAGGAAGCCACGGCUAACUACGUGCCAGCAGCCGCGGUAAUACGUAGGUGGCAAGCGUUGUCCGGAAUUACUGGGUGUAAAGGGAGCGUAGGCGGGAAAGCAAGUUGAAUGUUUAAACUAUCGGCUCAACCGAUAAUCGCGUUCAAAACUGUUUUUCUUGAGUGAAGUAGAGGUAGGCGGAAUUCCUAGUGUAGCGGUGAAAUGCGUAGAUAUUAGGAGGAACACCAGUGGCGAAGGCGGCCUACUGGGCUUUAACUGACGCUGAGGCUCGAAAGCGUGGGUAGCAAACAGGAUUAGAUACCCUGGUAGUCCACGCCGUAAACGAUGAUUACUAGGUGUGGGGGGAUCAACCCUUCCGUGCCGCAGCAAACGCAAUAAGUAAUCCACCUGGGGAGUA
Molecule: ribosomal RNA, 443 nt
Filed under: uncultured bacterium
Lineage: Bacteria
Description: bacterial SSU rRNA
Rfam family: Bacterial small subunit ribosomal RNA
Source: RNAcentral